GGCUUUUUAGUUUAUUUGUGAGAACACUGAUUUUGUAAAUCAGGGGUGGGGUGGUUUACCUUUAAGCCU
This 69-nucleotide transfer RNA is filed under the name Spirometra theileri. Its description in RNAcentral is "tRNA-Thr". It matches the Rfam family "tRNA". Rfam says of the family: Transfer RNA (tRNA) molecules are approximately 80 nucleotides in length. Lineage: Eukaryota; Metazoa; Platyhelminthes; Cestoda; Diphyllobothriidea; Diphyllobothriidae. The record is from RNAcentral.